UUUAACACACACAAACCCUAAACUCCCAAAAGCAAAACCUAAAAUCGAUCUAUCGUGCGCAGCUGCCUAAAUUCCUAAAUUCCUAAACCUGAAAUCGAUCGUGCCGCCUAAAUUCCUAAACCCAAAAUUGCUCUCAGUCUCUCCCUCUCGUUUAGUCACAAAGUAUGGAGCCGAAAAUCUAAACCAGAAACCAACAUAGAUGCUUUGAAAGCCAGAGUAAGAAAGGGUUGGUGGUGUGGCGGUGGGAGGAGUUGCGGUUGGGGGUGUAGCGGUUGGUGGUGGGGCGGUUGGUGGUGAGGUCGUUGGUGGUGAUGAUGGGGCUUGGGCCAUCCAUGAGGUGGCCAAUAGAGCCAAGAUGAUGAAAACUCAAAGCCCAGAUCGAUGAACCCUUUUUCGUUUGAGAAAAGAAAGAAAGAAAACACAGAGGAGAGAGAGAUCUAGAGAGAGCUAAGGGGAGUUGUGCUUAGACAGAGAGAGUUAGAGCUUGAUUUGUGAGUUGUGAGUGGAAAAGAGAAGAAUGAGAAUAUAAAAAGGGAGGAAGAAAGUGGAGAGCUGAACAAAGACAGCGCUAAAUAAAACAUCAAUUGCCGAAGAACAGUGUUCAGGCUAAACCCAACAAAUCCACAACCCAGUUCGGGGUGGCACAAGCAGGUAGACAGUUAACCAUUGGAGACCAGUGAGCUAGAAUGGAACCAAAGUCCCAAAUACAAUUCAGGAUCAGUAUAGAGAAUCUGAAGCAAAUGCUAAUGGCAAUGGAGAAAAGGGUCAUUCAAAAUCUUUAUUAAAUGGAAACUCAGAAUUUUCUAGCCAUGCUACACAAGUUUUUCUUGCCCAGAGAUGGAAGGAGGCUAGUUAAACACGCAGUGCUCGAGUGGUCACAACAGCAAAUAGAGGGCCAUGAUUGCAGCGGCUAUGUUGCGGCUAAUUAGUACAUUUUUAUUAAGAGAUCAACUUCCACACUGCCACCAAGUAGCCAGCGAAGAGCAGAGGGUGCCUCAAUAAUUUUGCAGCAAAGUCACACCCAUAACACUAGUUCCUUAAACACCUCACACCAGGUGCUCUUAUCUGGUGUAGUAAUUUUAGAAGUUCCUAUCUGGAAGGAUUUACUUGUUUACUUGCUAUCUAGAAGUUGCUAUCUGGAAGGAUUUACUUGCUAUUUGGUUUAGGUGUUUACCUUUACAACCGGAAAGCCCUUAUUGCAGCCGUAUACCCUUGAUCUGGUCAAUUGGUGUUGUGAGAGUCCACACCAAUGGCAUCACAAGAGGGCUCAAUCUAUUAUAUAGCAAAUAUAAAAUAUUUGGAGAAGUAACAGAUUGGUCGGAUAUAAGCCAACAUCCAAGAUUAAUUUAAUUUUUAUAGAUUUGUGUAUGUUAUAUAUUUUAAAUUAAGUUAGAGAUUUUGUAUUAUCAACAAUUUACUAGUUGAAUGUAUAUAUAUAAGUUAUUAAUUCUAUUAAAGUGAGUUUUGAUAUUUUAAUUAUUCUACAAAUAUAUAAUUAGAAAUUCUGCAUUAAUGGAAUAAUUAAAAUUAAAUAUUAUAUAUAAAUUUGGUUGGAAAAUAAAAUAUAAUUCAAUUUAAAUUUAUUUUGCAACAAAAAUUCAGUAGCAAAAUUAUUAUAUUUUUAUGUACUAAAGUUGUAUUUGUUACCAAUUUUAAAGUGAUUAGCUACCAAAAUGUAGUAGCAAAAAAGUUUUAGUAGUCUUUCAAAGUAAUUAUUUUGCUACUAGAUUUGACAUUUUUUGCUACAAAAAUAUUAGUAGCAAAUUUGCUACAAAUUGUCUUGGUAGCAAAAAAACUUUCAGCAACGGAGUAUUAGCUACGAAGUAGCCACCAAAAAAAGUUAGUAGCAAAAAGUUUAAUAGCUACCAAAUAGGCAUUAUUUGCUACUAAUUUUUUUGUAGCUGAAUAUCCUUUUUUUUUUUUUUUUGUAGUGGCAGGAGGCAAUAGAGGUAAAGCUAUUUUCUCCCUAGAUAGUUGGGUGGCAGUAGCAAGUAUGAUGUUAGGUGCUUGGUGGUAAAGAAGGAUCCUGACUCUCUUUAGUAGUUUUGGUGCUCCUUCUGGGUGACCUUCCACUAUCAGAGACAUCAUACCCCUUCUGGGACAGGCCUUCCGUGACCUACCUCCUAAAAGCUACCAGCUGUAAGACUUUAUCCUUGGUCUCUAUCCUUGCCUUUUUAUUAGCUUUGCUGUUUGAGGAGCCAGACUAUUUUUUAUUGAUAACGACUGCCCAUCGCAAUUAGAGUUGUUCCCUCUAGUGUUCUCCAAAGAAACCUUCUGCAAGGGUUCCACGAUCAGAAUAGGUUCAGUCAGAUCAAUGAUGGAAGUGGACAAGUCUUCCAUGCUUGGAGCCUUAGAAGCAGCCCCUGAAUUCGAAACCAGAGGUGCUGAAAACUGAGAUCCACUUUUGGAAAUUUGGCCUUUCUUUCCCUUGUCCUUACCUUCCUUGGCUAUCUCCCAAACCUCUUCAGAUCUCGAUUGGAUGUUGCCCAAGAACCUGUUGAGUAGAUCCAUCUGCAAGAUGGCUAGUUGAUCUACAAAGAACAAACAAAAUAUACCUUAGACAAGACUAUGUUAAAAGAUAUGAUUUUUGGAACAAAUUAUCAAACAACACAUCAAGAGGAUCCAAACUGUUAAUUUUAGCAUAAUUGACUUUACCUCUAGCAAAAAGAGCAAUGUCUUGAUGACCUAAGUUAGUCUCAUGCUGGAAGAAGCUUGAUAAGUAAAUCUUACUAAGCACAUCCACUCUAAAAUUAUGGUGCACUAGUGGAACAAAGUGAUUAGGACUCCUUACGAUGUAAUCUACCUUAUCUAUGUAUCCACUGCAAGGAUAUCUACUCUAGUCUAAGUUCAAGAAGUAUAGAUCAAAUCCACCUAGGCUAGUAUUAUCUAAGUCAGUGAAAGUGGGAGCCCUAAUUAUAUUAAAGGGUGUCUCACCACUACCAGAAGUGCUCGCUCCCAGAGCACCCUCAUUUUGCACUACCUACUUGAAUUUGAUAGUGAGUUCUUUAGCCUCGCUCAGGUUUUCUGGGAAUUGUCUCCUCCAAUUCGCCAGUCAUUGCUCAUUGACCUUUACUUCCUUUAAAGCCUCCUCAGUAGUUAUGACUUUGAUAGCCUCCUUAACUUCUUCUAGAACCCCUUGGAGAGAUUCCUAAACAUUUUCCUUCACAGAAAGAUGUUCUAAGUCUUGGUGUGGAGUGAUGAGGCCUAAUCUUCGUAGGUUCUCCUUAUUCACGAGUCCUUCUACUUGCAACUCUUUGGAUGAAAAAGAUUUGUAGAGGGCUAACCUCUCUUCAACUCUGGAGUCAAGGGCGACUGGGAAAGACAAUUUGACAGAUGUAAAAAAUGUAUCUGAAUAUAGCACACAGGAGGAGAAACAAAAUCCUAAAGUUCAAGGAAGGGAAUGACACUUCCUUUUAGUAUUGAAAUCUAAACUAUGGGUGGGAACCCUCUUCAACAGGAAGCCGAAUGUGUAGAAGUACUAAUCUCUAAAGUCAUAUGUGUACUUCGUGGAGCUGGUAGGACAAGGAACACUCCUAGAGUAGCAUUCUAGCCUGUCGAAACCUACUUUCUCCUUGUGGCCUCUCAUGGGUUGAGACUUGAUCUUGUAGAAAUACAAUAUUCCAGUGUCAGCACAAGCCUAUUAUGAUGAGCACAGAAAACCUAGCACCCUAACAAUAAACGGUAAGCUUGGGGAAUGAACUGAAAAGGUGCUUCUCCGACAACAACACAGAAGUUAGGAGCAAAUGUGCACCCAUUUUGAUAUGAGUCCAUCUAUAAGCACUGAAGCCUCCUUUCGCGCACCUUCUAGGCCUUUCCCUAUGAACGGAGAGCUUGUUCCAGAACAACCUUAGAACACUUUUGAGCCCUCGUCAAGUCUCGUACUUCCUCAAAUUAUUAUAGAUCCUAAACUUAUUUAUGUGUUGGUCCAUCUCCCAUGGACGGAUCAAUUUUGGAGCAUUUUCCUACUCCAUAAUUUCCUCCUCCGAGUCAGCUUCAUCUUGAUGGAUCCAUCUAGGAAUGAUUUCUUUACGAAAGAAGAAAAUCCAAGUAGUCAGCCACCCUAACUACCUAACAUAGAAAGCGAGUUGGGGGUCCUCCCUCAUGAACUACUUGGAGAUGUCCCAACUAGAUUAACUAUCCAUAAAUGAGAACUCUCAGGAUUCAUUCGUUCUAGAUAAGAAGUUAGGAACGAAAAAGAGAAAAGGCAUAACAGAGAUUA
Long non-coding RNA from Cannabis sativa, 4219 nucleotides. RefSeq lists it as uncharacterized. The record is from RefSeq and is a predicted model, not a curated record. The transcript has 4 exons. Lineage: Eukaryota; Viridiplantae; Streptophyta; Magnoliopsida; Rosales; Cannabaceae.